Molecule: ribosomal RNA, 681 nt
Filed under: uncultured Pseudomonadota bacterium
Lineage: Bacteria; Pseudomonadati; Pseudomonadota
Description: bacterial SSU rRNA
Rfam family: Bacterial small subunit ribosomal RNA
Source: RNAcentral
CACAUGCAAGUCGAACGGUAACAGGAAGCAGCUUGCUGCUUUGCUGACGAGUGGCGGACGGGUGAGUAAUGUCUGGGAAACUGCCUGAUGGAGGGGGAUAACUACUGGAAACGGUAGCUAAUACCGCAUAACGUCGCAAGACCAAAGAGGGGGACCUUCGGGCCUCUUGCCAUCGGAUGUGCCCAGAUGGGAUUAGCUAGUAGGUGGGGUAACGGCUCACCUAGGCGACGAUCCCUAGCUGGUCUGAGAGGAUGACCAGCCACACUGGAACUGAGACACGGUCCAGACUCCUACGGGAGGCAGCAGUGGGGAAUAUUGCACAAUGGGCGCAAGCCUGAUGCAGCCAUGCCGCGUGUAUGAAGAAGGCCUUCGGGUUGUAAAGUACUUUCAGCGGGGAGGAAGGGAGUAAAGUUAAUACCUUUGCUCAUUGACGUUACCCGCAGAAGAAGCACCGGCUAACUCCGUGCCAGCAGCCGCGGUAAUACGGAGGGUGCAAGCGUUAAUCGGAAUUACUGGGCGUAAAGCGCACGCAGGCGGUUUGUUAAGUCAGAUGUGAAAUCCCCGGGCUCAACCUGGGAACUGCAUCUGAUACUGGCAAGCUUGAGUCUCGUAGAGGGGGGUAGAAUUCCAGGUGCAGCGGUGAAAUGCGUAGAGAUCUGGAGGAAUACCGGUGGCGAAGGC